RNAcentral lists this ribosomal RNA (412 nucleotides) under Dolosigranulum pigrum. RNAcentral's name for it is "bacterial LSU rRNA". It matches the Rfam family "Bacterial large subunit ribosomal RNA", at positions 1361 to 1785 of the family's 2925-position model. The record is from RNAcentral. Lineage: Bacteria; Bacillati; Bacillota; Bacilli; Lactobacillales; Carnobacteriaceae.
AAGGCUCGUCCUCCCAGGGUUAGUCGGGACCUAAGCUGAGGCCGAACGGCGUAGGCGAUGGUCAACAGGUUGAUAUUCCUGUACCAGUUUCUUUUGUUUGACCGAUGGAGGGACGCAGCAGGCUAAGAUAUGCCCACUAAUGGAUGUGGGUGCAAAUAAUAAGUCUGGCGAUGAGUCAAAUGCUUAUCGCUAAGGACAAGUUAUGACGCGGAGGGAAGUACAGUACCGAAGUAUCUGACGUCACACUGCCAAGAAAAGCUUCUAGGGAGAAAGUAACUGCCCGUACCGCAAACCGACACAGGUAGUCGAGAUGAGAAUUCUAAGGUGAGCGAGCGAACUCUCGUUAAGGAACUCGGCAAAAUGACCCCGUAACUUAGGGAGAAGGGGUGCUAACGCAAGUUAGCCGCAGUGA